RNAcentral lists this ribosomal RNA (378 nucleotides) under uncultured Candidatus Saccharibacteria bacterium. RNAcentral describes it as "bacterial SSU rRNA". It matches the Rfam family "Bacterial small subunit ribosomal RNA", at positions 376 to 770 of the family's 1533-position model. Lineage: Bacteria; Candidatus Saccharimonadota. The record is from RNAcentral.
CGAAAGCCUGAUGGAGCAACGCCGCGUGCAGGAUGAAGGCUUUCGGGUCGUAAACUGCUUUUAUUUGUGACGAUUAUGACAGUAGCAAAUGAAUAAGGGUCGGCUAACUACGUGCCAGCAGCCGCGGUCAUACGUAGGACCCAAGCGUUAUCCGGAAUUACUGGGCGUAAAGAGUUGCGUAGGUGGCAUGUUAAGCGGGUAGUGAAAUCGUGUGGCUCAACCAUACAAACAUUAUCUGAACUGGCAAGCUAGAGUGCUAUAGAGGUUACUGGAAUUCCAAGUGUAGGAGUGAAAUCCGUAGAUAUUUGGAGGAACACCGAUGGCGUAGGCAGGUAACUGGAUAGCAACUGACACUGAGGCACGAAAGCGUGGGGAGCA